RNAcentral lists this ribosomal RNA (388 nucleotides) under uncultured bacterium. Its description in RNAcentral is "bacterial SSU rRNA". It matches the Rfam family "Bacterial small subunit ribosomal RNA", at positions 28 to 417 of the family's 1533-position model. The record is from RNAcentral.
GACGAACGCUGGCGGCGUGCUUAACACAUGCAAGUCGAGCGGUAAGGCCCUUUCGGGGGUACGACGAGCGGCGAACGGGUGAGUAACACGUGGGUGACCUGCCCUUAGCUCUGGGAUAAGCCUGGGAAACUGGGCCUAAUACCGGAUAUGACUCCAUGACGCAUGUUGUGGGGUGGAAAGCCUUGUGCGGCUAGGGAUGGGCCCGCGGCCUAUCAGCUUGUUGGUGGGGUGAUGGCCUACCAAGGCGACGACGGGUAGCCGGCCUGAGAGGGCGACCGGCCACACUGGGACUGAGACACGGCCCAGACUCCUACGGGAGGCAGCAGUGGGGAAUCUUGCACAAUGGGCGAAAGCCUGACGCAGCGACGCCGCGUGGGGAUGACGGCCU